AACGAACGCUGGCGGCAUGCCUAACACAUGCAAGUCGAACGAAGCCUUCGGGCUUAGUGGCGCACGGGUGCGUAACGCGUGGGAAUCUGCCCCUUGCUUCGGAAUAACAGUUAGAAAUGACUGCUAAUACCGGAUGAAGUCUUCGGACCAAAGAUUUAUCGGCAAGGGAUGAGCCCGCGUAGGAUUAGGUAGUUGGGGGGGUAAAGGCCCACCAAGCCGACGAUCCUUAGCUGGUCUGAGAGGAUGAUCAGCCACACUGGGACAGGGACAAGGCCCAGACUCCUACGGGAGGCAGCAGGGGUGAAUAUGGGACAACGGACGCAAGUCUGAUCCCGCAAGGCCGCGUGAGUGAUGAAGGCCUUAGGGUUGUAAAGCUCUUUUACCAGGGAUGAUAAGGCCAGUACCAGGAGAAUAAGCCCCGGCUAACUCCUU
RNAcentral lists this ribosomal RNA (432 nucleotides) under uncultured bacterium. Its description in RNAcentral is "partial 16S ribosomal RNA". It matches the Rfam family "Bacterial small subunit ribosomal RNA", at positions 29 to 506 of the family's 1533-position model. The record is from RNAcentral.